Molecule: ribosomal RNA, 1206 nt
Filed under: Triticum aestivum (bread wheat)
Lineage: Eukaryota; Viridiplantae; Streptophyta; Magnoliopsida; Poales; Poaceae
Description: partial small subunit ribosomal RNA
Source: RNAcentral
AUGCAAUUUGACACCUGGGAGGAAGGUAUGACAUUCUACAAAAUGUAUGCUCAUGAAGUCGGGUUCUCGGUUCGCACAUGGACAACACACAAAGAUGAACAUGGCAUACUGUGGAAGAGGUUUGUUUGUGCUAGGGAGGGUUGGAGGAAGGUGGCCCGGGAAGAGGAAAGGAUAAAGCCGAAGAGAAAAUUCAAGUUAACUAGGUGUGGUUGUGAGGCUAUGAUUGGAUUGAAGAGGCAAGAUGAUGGCAAAUAUAAGGUCGCCCGGUUUGUUCAAUCACACACCCACCAACUUAUUUCGCCAAGUAAGAGACAUCUCAUCAAGUCAAAUAGAGAAGUAAGUAGUGAGUUGAGAAGCAAAUUACUUACAUGUCAUAAGGCAAUGGUUGGCACAUCUACAGCAUAUCACUUGCUUAGUGUAGAGAAGGGAGGUCCGGAAAAUGUGGGCUGCACAAAGCAUGACUUCCAGAACUCUCAUCGUGAUUUUAAAAGAGCAAUUAAGAGAGCAGAUGGACAGAUCAUAGUAGAUAUAAUGAAAAGGAAGCAGGCUGCCAAUCCAGCAUUCUACUUUGACUACCAAGUCGAUGAGAAUGACAAACUUAUAAAUAUUUUCUGGGCGGAUAGCAUAUGCAGAAAGAACUACUCAUUGUUUGGUGAAGUUGUGUCUUUUGACUCGACAUAUCGCUUUAAUAGGUAUAACUUGGUAUUUGCCCCUUUCACAGGAGUUAACAACCACAGGUCUUGUGUCACGCUUGGUGCAGCUUUUCUAUGGAAUGUGAAGAAAGAAUCUUAUAUAUGGUUGUUCAAGACUUUCUUGAAAGCAAUGUCUGGGGUUGCACCUAAGAUCAUCAUGAACGACGAAGACCAAAGCAUGAGAAUAGGGAUAGAACAAGUUUUUCCAAACACUAAACAUAGGCUUUGUAUGUGGCACAUCCUCAUGAAGCUUACUGAAAAAGUUGGUGCCACCAUGAAAAAUAAUCCAGAUUUUCAUGAACGGUUUAUGGCAUGUAUUUGGGGAUCAGAGACACCAAGUGAGUUUGAGUCACAAUGGUGUUCAAUAAUAUCUGACUUUGGGCUAAAAGAUAAUACAUGGUUGCAGGAGAAGUAUGAGGCGCGCAAGUCAUGGAUUCCGGCAUAUUUUACGGAGAUCACCCUUGGCGGAAUCUUGCGUACUACAUCAAGAUCUGAGAGUUUGAAACAGCUUUAG